GUUACGACUGUUGACUUUAGUAAAAUCACACAGACAGCCAAGACAUUCCUUAUUGACCUAAAAAAAAGAGGGACAGCUAUUACAAAGGAAGCUUGUUGGAAGAUUGGGGUGAGUGGAAUGGAAAUGCAGCAUCUCUAAAAAUAAUAGAUUGAAAAUAUUGUCAAAACUCCAAGACGUAGAAGUACAAUAUGAAAACCACAACUACUGCGAAGGGCAAAACAUCAUGAAAACAAUGUCUACUAAAGAACGCAUUCUUAGAAAAAAGCACUGUGAAGAUUCUCAAUUUUUCAAGCAAGUACCAAGGAAGGUGAAGAUUCUCAAUUUUUCAAGAAAGUACCAAGCAAAGCAAAAUGAUAUCGACGAAACCAAGGUUGAAAACCUUUGGAUAUAGAGUAGAUGUUGCUCUACCGACGUCAAAAUGACGACAAAACAAGUUGGAAAUUAGUUGACAGAAUUUAGCUUACUUGAAAAGAUAGCUCAAUUUUUCUAAGCAUUUUGUUUCUCGAACUAAACACUGGCCUUUUCUAAAUGAGUAUAUAUAAAAUGUAUUUCGUCAGUUUUUCGAUUAGAAAAAUAAAUCAAUUGUCUAUUAUAUUUCACAUGCAUUACGAUUCAAUGCAUCACAAAUAA
Molecule: long non-coding RNA, 630 nt
Organism: Xenia sp. Carnegie-2017
Lineage: Eukaryota; Metazoa; Cnidaria; Anthozoa; Malacalcyonacea; Xeniidae
Exons: 2
Source: RefSeq, a predicted model, not a curated record